RNAcentral lists this ribosomal RNA (380 nucleotides) under uncultured eukaryote. RNAcentral's name for it is "partial 18S ribosomal RNA". It matches the Rfam family "Eukaryotic small subunit ribosomal RNA", at positions 592 to 976 of the family's 1831-position model. The record is from RNAcentral.
CAAUAGCGUAUAUUAAAGUUGUUGCGGUUAAAAAGCUCGUAGUUGGAUUUCUGCCGAGGACGACCGGUCCGCCCUCUGGGUGUGUAUCUGGUUUGGCCUGGGCAUCUUCUUGGAGAACGUAGCUGCACUUGACUGUGUGGUGCGGUGUCCAGGACUUUUACUUUGAGGAAAUUAGAGUGUUUCAAGCAGGCACACGCCUUGAAUACAUUAGCAUGGAAUAAUAAGAUAGGACCUCGGUUCUAUUUUGUUGGUUUCUAGAGCUGAGGUAAUGAUUAAUAGGGAUAGUUGGGGGCAUUCGUAUUUAACUGUCAGAGGUGAAAUUCUUGGAUUUGUUGAAGACGAUCUACUGCGAAAGCAUUUGCCAGGGAUGUUUUCAUUGA